UUUUUUUUGGUAAGAUCCAACUAUAUAAUUGUUCAUUACGAGUCUAGAGCAUCUUAUAUAUAAUUAUACAAAACCCAUUAGUGUUAAUAGAAAAAAUUUAGACAAACAAAUAUACAGGUCUUGGAACACAGUAAAACCAACCAAUAUAAUUAUUUUUCAAUUUUCUGGUAAAUAUUGGUGACUAUAAUUAAUUUCAAUGGAAUCAGC
Molecule: long non-coding RNA, 207 nt
Filed under: Capsella rubella
Lineage: Eukaryota; Viridiplantae; Streptophyta; Magnoliopsida; Brassicales; Brassicaceae
Description: long non-coding RNA (CRUB_LNC002008)
Source: RNAcentral